Non-coding RNA from Electrophorus electricus (electric eel), 154 nucleotides. NCBI's taxonomy places the organism in Eukaryota, Metazoa, Chordata, Actinopteri, Gymnotiformes, Gymnotidae. The record is from RefSeq and is a predicted model, not a curated record.
CAGCCAGCAGAGACGCAGCAUGCUUGCACAUCUCAGCCCCAGGCUGCUCAAGACGUGUAUCCAGUGGCGGCUGCUAGAUCUCCAGAGUGGUGUGUGCGUCAUCAGCAGGUGAGGCUGUGACCUCUGUGCUGGCAGCCAGUGUGCUGUAUUUGGC